GUAGAUGACGUCAGACGAUUCCUUGGAAAGUAAAUGCUAUUGUCAAGAUAUCAUUAUUGUGUUACAUAUCGGUGAUGUAAAGUUAUACAGCUUGCAAUGUUAUCUGUACCACUUAUAGAACAUACAAUUGAUUGAAUAAAUUAUGAUAUGCAUUUUAUGGGGAUGAAUCGAACAAGUCCCAAAUCGCAUUUUAAGUUUAUUGUUGUCCUUUAUCUUGUCCACUUUCAUUCGCCGUAGAUGCAUAUUCGACCUUUGCACUCAAACCAAACGUCGCUUUCUAGCCAGCGUUAGUUGUUUAAUUGUUAGAAUUGAAGACGGUUUGGUCUACACACACUUCAUAAAAGAUCGGGGAUCAUCGAUGCAAGUGUAGGUGGGACUCCUGAUCCAGAGAACAUGUUUCGACGAAGGAUACCCUUUGCACAGAUAGCCUUUGCCACUGUGCUAGGAGUUGCUGGGGGAGUUUAUAUAUAUAGACCCAUGUUUGAGCCCCAGCACAAGAACUCUGUUCCAGAGACUUUGAGUCAAACUGAGGACAAUUGGAUGCCUGAGAGCCAAGGACAGUCUAGAGAUGGCAACAAUGUGCCUGAGAGUCCUGGACAGUAUGAAAUCAAUAGAACUGUGUAGGAGAGUGGGGGACAGUCAGCGGCCUACGCAGAAGUGGCUGUCAAGGAAUGAUUUCAUUUAAUUUGUGGUUUGGUGUGUAAAUUAGACAUGUGAAUUUAAUGUUAAAUAAAAUCCUUUCUGCUACUGAAA
Molecule: long non-coding RNA, 753 nt
Organism: Salmo salar (Atlantic salmon)
Lineage: Eukaryota; Metazoa; Chordata; Actinopteri; Salmoniformes; Salmonidae
Source: RefSeq, a predicted model, not a curated record